Brienomyrus brachyistius is the source of this 4159-nucleotide RNA transcript. It is a transcript of the gene named RUN and FYVE domain containing 3, with no coding region annotated. Lineage: Eukaryota; Metazoa; Chordata; Actinopteri; Osteoglossiformes; Mormyridae. The record is from RefSeq and is a predicted model, not a curated record. The transcript is spliced from 16 exons.
GCCAUCUUGGUUUACACCCAGUGCAGUACGCGCAGCCAAUCCAAUUAUUACGAAGCAGAUUGAGUAGGGGAGUGGAAGACCGUGAUUUCACCAGCAUCACCCGUUCACGCUGCUUCUGAGAUCCUCUGACUGAACACUUCGGCAGCAGCUGAUGUGGAAAAUAGCGGAGACUUUACUGUAGAGACGGUGACUUUAGCCCUCACUUGUCUGUGGGGGAGAAAAGCCGGAGGAGGCAAGGGAACAGAAACGAACAACAUCCUUUUUGUGCUUCUGCGUUAUUGGGGGUGGGCUGCUCUCAGUCUUCCUGUUGUUUUCUUUCCGCUGUUUCCUAGCGGAGACCGGCAGAGCUGUAGUGGGAAAAUUCUUUGUUUUUUUCCUUACCUGUUCCUGUCCUGGAGGAGAGCUGUUUUUGUGCUGUGGUACCAAAGCUGAGUCAUCAUGUCUGAUCUGACACCUCAGAGUGAUGCCCCCACCCCCACCACUGACAAAAUCACACAGGCGGCAAGGGAGACAAUUUACCUUUGCAACUUUCGAGUCUCCGUGGACGGGGAAUGGCUUUGUCUGCGUGAGCUCAACGACAUCUCCCUCACCCCAGACCCGGAGCCGGCCCAUGAGGACUCAUGGGAGGAUUUCACAAGUUUGGUGGCGGAAAUGCAAAUGCUUGAUGAGUUUAAAGAUCCCAAGGAUCCCAUUGCAAUUGAGAGGCUCAACCUGAUGAAUAUGGCCAAGCUGAGCAUAAAGGGGCUUAUUGAGUCGGCUCUCAACCUUGGCCGGACCCUGGACUCGGACUACGCUCCCUUGCAGCAGUUUUUCGUAGUGAUGGAGCACUGUCUUAAGCAUGGCCUGAAAACCAAGAAGACAUUUCUUGGACAGAACAAGUCCUUUUGGGGUCCACUGGAGUUAGUGGAGAAGUUAACACCUGAAGCAGGUGAAAUCACAGCCAGUGUGAAAGACCUCCCUGGGCUCAAGACACCAAUUGGGCGAGGGAGAGCUUGGCUUCGUCUUGCCUUGAUGCAGAAAAAACUGUCAGAUUACAUGAAGACUCUGAUCAACAGAAAGGAUCUGCUUAGUGAAUUUUAUGAAGCAAAUGCACUGAUGAUGGAGGAAGAAGGAGCAGUCAUUGCUGGGCUGUUAGUGGGUCUGAAUGUUAUUGAUGCAAAUCUCUGCAUGAAGGGAGAAGAUCUGGAUUCUCAGGUUGGUGUUAUUGAUUUCUCUAUGUACCUAAAGGAUGGAGGACCUACAAGCAAGAGCACAGAGGGAGAUGGACAGAUUACUGCAAUACUUGACCAGAAAAAUUACGUUGAAGAAUUGAACAGACAUUUGAGCGCUUCCGUGAACAAUCUCCAGGCUAAGGUUGAUGCACUAGAAAAAUCAAACACAAAGUUAACAGAAGAACUUGCAGUUGCAAAUAACAGGAUCAUAACUCUACAGGAAGAUGUAGAACGGGUAAAGGAAGAGAGUUCUCAACUUCUGGAGUCCACCUGCAAGGUGUCAAAAUCAGAUGGAAGUGCCAAUGGACAAGUACUUGGAGAAGCACGGAAACAAAUCAAAGAGGAAACUCGAUUGCGUUUGGAUGUGGAAAAGGAGCUUGACGUUCAGAUCGGCAUGAAGCAGGAAAUGGAGAUUUCCAUGAAGAUGUUGGAGAAGGAUGUUUGUGAGAAACAGAAUGCUUUACUGGCACUUAGGCAGCAACUGGAUGACUUGAGAAUUUUCAACCAGGAGCUCUCCCAUAAGUUGCAGACCUCUGAUGGAGCCAUGAAGCAGAAGAAUGAAAUCAUCAACCGUUUAGAUGAGACCGCAAACCAGAUGGCUGGGACAAUAAAACAACUGGAGCUGAGUUCUUCUGGCUCAAAUCCAGAUUCCAACAGGCCAAGCUGGGGAGGAAUCUUGCCCAUGAAACCAAUCAGCUCUUUAAGCAGGAAUUUGGGGACAAAAUCGAGAGUUUGCAGCUGGAGGUGGAGAAACUAAGAAGGGAGAGGAGCUCAAGGCGAUCAAAUGAGAAUUUUCUUUUGCAAACAUUGGUGGAGAAAAAGCAGAGCGUUGAUUUCUGUGUGUGAGUUCAGGAUGGUUGGUUUCAGCUGUCCAUAUGAAGCCCCAAGGCUUCGGGGUUAACACUGUCAUCACAACUCUGGAUCAAAGUUUUUUUUUUUUUUUCUUCUGACCUUUUCAGGGCCGCUUCAACAGAAGAGAAAUAAACUGUUUCUCAACUAUAACAUUUUUGGUUCACAUAACCAAAAGUGUAACUUAAAUAUGCCAUACUAUGAAAGCAUCAGGCUAAACAGAAUUUUUUGAGUGUUAAUCGUAACACUUCAAAGGUAAAUACAAUUUAUUCUAUAAGCAUAACUGUGCAUUAACUCCUUUUACCUAACCUAUUUAAACUACCUUAUAAGUUUUCUCUAUUUUAAGGUUGCUGCCGCAAAACAUAGAUGAGCAGGUAACUCUGUUGAAGUUGUAAAGACCUUAAGACAUUGUAACCAUAUGCAUAUGAUAUGAACUAUACAGGGUUAAAUAUGAUUUAGGAGAAACUUAUAAAUGGGCUGAAGGUACAUUUUUUUAGGAUGGUUACACUAUUUUAGAAUGCACGUAUUAGCUGCCUCAGAUAUGGAAGUGGAAGACUAUAAUAAAAAAAAUGUGGGCCAGCUUAUGGGUCUUUGAACUAGGACUGAAAAAUAAUCACUGAUUUAUGGGAAUACAACAAUUAUAACUACAGUGGAAACCUCUUAUACUGAUCGCAUCUGUCUGGGUGAAAUUGAUCACUAUAAGUGGAUGAUCGUUAUAUCCAAUUUUUCUUUGUCUCAGGCAGAUUACCAUCUACUGUAAAUGACAUUUGUAUAUUAAAUACAUGCAUAUAAAGUAAUAAAAUGGAGAGCGUCGCUAUACACUGAAUUUUCUUGACUCUGAAAAUACAUUAAAAAUCAAACAAAUAUUGUACAAAUUAAAUUACUGAACUGUGUAUAAUUAAAAUAUACUAUGACAGUAUAACACUGUACAUAAAAUACAGCUUAUAAUAGUUUUGCUGCUGCAUCUUAUUGGCUUGUUUUUGACAGUUUAUCAUAAGCUUUGAGUUUAUAUUUGUCAUUGAGAGAAAAUUACUUUUUUUCCUGUCAUGUUUUCUGUGUAAGCAGCAUUAGCUUACACAGAAAACCUAAGGUAGCCUAGCCAGUCAGGUUACCGCAAGGCAAACUAUGGCUAUCAAAGUAAAGUAAAAAAAUAUAUAUAUAUUAUUUUACUUUUCUCCGUAUAUUGUUAUGAAUAAAGAACCCCAAAAUGAACACUGUAACAGGACACAGCACAGCUGAUUACUACAAGCAAAUGAUUUAAACAGUAUUUCUACAGGAUUGAUUCUGUUCCAAAAAAUUUUAUGUAUAUAACCAUGAUCACUAUAAGCGGUUUCUACUGUGUAAUGUAUGUGAUUAAUCAUAAGAAGUGGGUUUAGAUUAUGAUAUAAAUUACCUUCUCUAACUGUGUGUUCUUUUUAUGUCAAGUACUUUAAUAGCCUGCAGUAGUCUGCUUGAAAUCGUGUGGGGAAGGGGACUCCAUGACAAUGCAGAAGAAACAGGAAAAGAUUGCUACCAAAGUUUCAUGGCAGUUGACAUUCCCUAAUCUUCAGUCAACCUUACAGAAAUCUACGAUAUGUGCCUUUUAAUUUUGACUACUCACGGUGAAUGUGUCUUUUUUUCCAAGAAAUGAUCCACAGCUCAACAUAUUAAGUGAAAAUAAUGGGUAAAUCAAAACAUAUGAUAUAUUGAAGAAAAAGGCCUUAAUCUGGACAAAUAUCAUUAUGGACCACAAUGGCUGACAAUUGAAAUGAAUAACUUUUCUGGCUGUUGUUGUAUUACUUGAAUACAGUUGUAUUAAUUAACUUUGUAAUGUAUGGGUAUCAUAAACAUUAUCUGUUGCAUUCAAAUCUGGCUUGAAUAUAUUCAUGAUAGUGUCUUUGGACACAUAUAGCUUUAAAUGAGUUAUUGAAUAUUUUACACAUUUUUCUCAGAAUAAAUUUUGCCAAUUCUACCACAAUGUAUUUUUUUAACCAGUUUGUGGUUAAAAUGUUAUGUAGUUUUAUAUUUGACUUUCUCACUAAUACAAGAACUGAACAUGUGUAAGAAAUUGAAUAUAAUAAACAUUUGAGAUGCAAAUAAAAAUAAAAAGAUUUCAACAA